RNAcentral lists this ribosomal RNA (253 nucleotides) under uncultured bacterium. RNAcentral describes it as "partial 16S ribosomal RNA". It matches the Rfam family "Bacterial small subunit ribosomal RNA", at positions 524 to 776 of the family's 1533-position model. The record is from RNAcentral.
UACGUAGGUGGCAGGCGUUAUCCGGAAUUAUUGGGCGUAAAGCGCGCGCAGGCGGGUUCUUAAGUCUGAUGUGAAAGCCCCCGGCUCAACCGGGGAGGGUCAUUGGAAACUGGGAAACUUGAGUGCAGAAGAGGAAAGCGGAAUUCCACGUGUAGCGGUGAAAUGCGUAGAUAUGUGGAGGAACACCAGUGGCGAAGGCGUCUUUCUGGUCUGUAACUGACGCUGAGGCGCGAAAGCGUGGGGAGUAAACAGG